AAGUCGUAACAAGGUUUCCGUAGGUGAACCUGCGGAAGGAUCAUUACAAAAUUAUCCAACCCACCUUUGUGCACUGUAACAAAACUUCGUCUACCUGGCAGCCAACCUUUGGUUACUGUUAGGUGACUUAUCUAAACCUUUUUAAAAAUGGCUAAUGAAAUCUUCUUACAUUUCUAACUUUCCUUAUUCGUAAGGUAAAGAAAGAAUAUGAAAGAAAUAAUAAAAUAUAACUUUCAGCAACGGAUCUCUUGGCUCUC
This 257-nucleotide unclassified non-coding RNA is filed under the name fungal sp. RNAcentral's name for it is "partial internal transcribed spacer region". The stretch from base 1 to 46 matches the Rfam family "Eukaryotic small subunit ribosomal RNA", at positions 1786 to 1831 of the family's 1831-position model. Lineage: Eukaryota; Fungi. The record is from RNAcentral.